This 253-nucleotide ribosomal RNA is filed under the name uncultured bacterium. RNAcentral's name for it is "partial 16S ribosomal RNA". It matches the Rfam family "Bacterial small subunit ribosomal RNA", at positions 524 to 776 of the family's 1533-position model. The record is from RNAcentral.
UACAGAGGUCUCAAGCGUUGUUCGGACUCAUUGGGCGUAAAGGGUGCGUAGGCGGCGCGGUAAGUCGGGUGUGAAAUCUCGGGGCUUAACUCCGAAACUGCAUUCGAUACUGCCGUGCUUGAGGACUGGAGAGGAGACUGGAAUUUACGGUGUAGCGGUGAAAUGCGUAGAUAUCGUAAGGAAGACCAGUGGCGAAGGCGGGUCUCUGGACAGUUCCUGACGCUGAGGUGCGAAAGCGUGGGGAGCAAACAGG